Molecule: ribosomal RNA, 1428 nt
Filed under: uncultured organism
Description: 16S ribosomal RNA
Rfam family: Bacterial small subunit ribosomal RNA
Source: RNAcentral
CAGGCUUAACACAUGCAAGUCGAGGGUCAUCAGGAAGAAAGCUUGCUUUCUUUGCUGGCGACCGGCGCACGGGUGAGUAACACGUAUCCAACCUGCCCUUUACUCGGGGAUAGCCUUUCGAAAGAAAGAUUAAUACCCGAUGGCAUAAUGAUUCCGCAUGGUUUCAUUAUUAAAGGAUUCCGGUAAAGGAUGGGGAUGCGUUCCAUUAGGUUGUUGGUGAGGUAACGGCUCACCAAGCCUUCGAUGGAUAGGGGUUCUGAGAGGAAGGUCCCCCACAUUGGAACUGAGACACGGUCCAAACUCCUACGGGAGGCAGCAGUGAGGAAUAUUGGUCAAUGGGCGCUAGCCUGAACCAGCCAAGUAGCGUGAAGGAUGAAGGCUCUAUGGGUCGUAAACUUCUUUUAUAUAAGAAUAAAGUGCAGUAUGUAUACUGUUUUGUAUGUAUUAUAUGAAUAAGGAUCGGCUAACUCCGUGCCAGCAGCCGCGGUAAUACGGAGGAUCCGAGCGUUAUCCGGAUUUAUUGGGUUUAAAGGGAGCGUAGGUGGACUGGUAAGUCAGUUGUGAAAGUUUGCGGCUCAACCGUAAAAUUGCAGUUGAUACUGUCAGUCUUGAGUACAGUAGAGGUGGGCGGAAUUCGUGGUGUAGCGGUGAAAUGCUUAGAUAUCACGAAGAACUCCGAUUGCGAAGGCAGCUCACUGGACUGCAACUGACACUGAUGCUCGAAAGUGUGGGUAUCAAACAGGAUUAGAUACCCUGGUAGUCCACACAGUAAACGAUGAAUACUCGCUGUUUGCGAUAUACAGUAAGCGGCCAAGCGAAAGCAUUAAGUAUUCCACCUGGGGAGUACGCCGGCAACGGUGAAACUCAAAGGAAUUGACGGGGGCCCGCACAAGCGGAGGAACAUGUGGUUUAAUUCGAUGAUACGCGAGGAACCUUACCCGGGCUUAAAUUGCAGUGGAAUGAUGUGGAAACAUGUCAGUGAGCAAUCACCGCUGUGAAGGUGCUGCAUGGUUGUCGUCAGCUCGUGCCGUGAGGUGUCGGCUUAAGUGCCAUAACGAGCGCAACCCUUAUCUUUAGUUACUAACAGGUCAUGCUGAGGACUCUAGAGAGACUGCCGUCGUAAGAUGUGAGGAAGGUGGGGAUGACGUCAAAUCAGCACGGCCCUUACGUCCGGGGCUACACACGUGUUACAAUGGGGGGUACAGAAGGCAGCUAGCGGGUGACCGUAUGCUAAUCCCAAAAUCCUCUCUCAGUUCGGAUCGAAGUCUGCAACCCGACUUCGUGAAGCUGGAUUCGCUAGUAAUCGCGCAUCAGCCACGGCGCGGUGAAUACGUUCCCGGGCCUUGUACACACCGCCCGUCAAGCCAUGGGAGCCGGGGGUACCUGAAGUACGUAACCGCAAGGAUCGUCCUAGGGUAAAACUGGUAA